GACGAACGCUGGCGGCGUGCUUAACACAUGCAAGUCGAACGGAAAGGCCCCUUUGGGGGUACUCGAGUGGCGCACGGGUGAGUAACACGUGAGUAACCUGCCCUUGACUUCGGGAUAACUUCAGGAAACUGGGGCUAAUACCGGAUAGGAAUCCUUGCUCCAUGGUGGGGGUUGGAAAGCUUCGGCGGUUUUGGAUGGACUCGCGGCUUAUCAGCUUGUUGGUGGGGUAGUGGCUUACCAAGGCUUUGACGGGUAGCCGGCCUGAGAGGGCGACCGGCCACAUUGGGACUGAGAUACGGCCCAGACUCCUACGGGAGGCAGCAGUGGGGAAUAUUGCACAAUGGGCGGAAGCCUGAUGCAGCAACGCCGCGUGCGGGAUGACGGCCUUCGGGUUGUAAACCGCUUUCAGCAGGGGCGAAGCUUGUGGUGACGGUACCUGCAGAAGAAGCACCGGCUAACUACGUG
RNAcentral lists this ribosomal RNA (465 nucleotides) under uncultured bacterium. RNAcentral's name for it is "partial 16S ribosomal RNA". It matches the Rfam family "Bacterial small subunit ribosomal RNA", at positions 28 to 507 of the family's 1533-position model. The record is from RNAcentral.